This 254-nucleotide ribosomal RNA is filed under the name uncultured bacterium. Its description in RNAcentral is "partial 16S ribosomal RNA". It matches the Rfam family "Bacterial small subunit ribosomal RNA", at positions 524 to 776 of the family's 1533-position model. The record is from RNAcentral.
UACGUAGGGUGCGAGCGUUGUCCGGAAUUAUUGGGCGUAAAGGGCUCGUAGGCGGUUGUCGCGUCGGGAGUGAAAUCCACUGGCUUAACUGGUGGCUUGCUUUCGAUACGGGCAGACUGGAGGUAUGCAGGGGGAGAACGGAAUUCCUGGUGUAGCGGUGAAAUGCGCAGAUAUCAGGAGGAACACCGGUGGCGAAGGCGGUUCUCUGGGCAUGUCCUGACGCUGAGGAGCGAAAGUGUGGGGGAGCGAACAGG